Molecule: ribosomal RNA, 497 nt
Filed under: uncultured bacterium
Lineage: Bacteria
Description: partial 16S ribosomal RNA
Rfam family: Bacterial small subunit ribosomal RNA
Source: RNAcentral
GAUGAACGCUGGCGGCGUGCCUAAUACAUGCAAGUCGAGCGAACGGACGAGAAGCUUGCUUCUCUGACGUUAGCGGCGGACGGGUGAGUAACACGUGGAUAACCUACCUAUAAGACUGGGAUAACUUCGGGAAACCGGAGCUAAUACCGGAUGAUAUUUUGAACCGCAUGGUUCAAAAGUGAAAGACGGUCUUGCUGUCACUUAUAGAUGGAUCCGCGCUGCAUUAGCUAGUUGGUAAGGUAACGGCUUACCAAGGCAACGAUGCAUAGCCGACCUGAGAGGGUGAUCGGCCACACUGGAACUGAGACACGGUCCAGACUCCGACGGGAGGCAGCAGUAGGGAAUCUUCCGCAAUGGGCGAAAGCCUGACGGAGCAACGCCGCGUGAGUGAUGAAGGUCUUCGGAUCGUAAAACUCUGUUAUUAGGGAAGAACAUAUGUGUAAGUAACUGUGCACAUCUUGACGGUACCUAAUCAGAAAGCCACGGCUAACUACGUG